This 333-nucleotide ribosomal RNA is filed under the name uncultured bacterium. RNAcentral describes it as "bacterial SSU rRNA". It matches the Rfam family "Bacterial small subunit ribosomal RNA", at positions 29 to 362 of the family's 1533-position model. The record is from RNAcentral.
AUUGAACGCUGGCGGAAUGCUUUACACAUGCAAGUCGAGCGGCAGCGCGGGGGCAACCCUGGCGGCGAGCGGCGAACGGGUGAGUAACAUAUCGGAACGUACCCAGUCGUGGGGGAUAACUAUCCGAAAGGAUAGCUAAUACCGCAUACGUCCUGAGGGAGAAAGCGGGGGAGUCGCAAGACCUCGCGCGAUUGGAGCGGCCGAUAUCGGAUUAGCUAGUUGGUGGGGUAAAGGCUCACCAAGGCGACGAUCCGUAGCGGGUCUGAGAGGACGACCUGCCACACUGGAACUGAGACACGGUCCAGACUCCUACGGGAGGCAGCAGUGGGGGAA